RNAcentral lists this ribosomal RNA (406 nucleotides) under uncultured bacterium. RNAcentral describes it as "partial 16S ribosomal RNA". It matches the Rfam family "Bacterial small subunit ribosomal RNA", at positions 30 to 526 of the family's 1533-position model. The record is from RNAcentral.
AUUGAACGCUGGCGGCAGGCCUAACACAUGCAAGUCGAGCGAGCGGCGGACGGGUGAGUAAUGUCUGGGAGACUGCCUGAUGGAGGGGGAUAACUACUGGAAACGGUAGCUAAUACCGCAUACCAUCAGAUGUGCCCAGAUGGGAUUAGCUAGUAGGUGGGGUAACGGCUCACCUAGGCGACGAUCCCUAGCUGGUCUGAGAGGGUGACCAGCCACACUGGAAAUGAGACACGGUCCAGACUCCGACGGGAGACAGCAGUGGGGAAUAUUGCACAAUGGGCGCAGGCCUGAUUCAGCCAUGCCGCGAGUGUGAAGAAGGCCUUCGGGUUGUAAAGCACUUUCAGCGGGGAGGCGUUACCCGCAGAAGAAGCACCGGCUAACUCCGUGCCAGCCGCCGCGGUAAUAC